Molecule: ribosomal RNA, 484 nt
Filed under: uncultured bacterium
Lineage: Bacteria
Description: partial 16S ribosomal RNA
Rfam family: Bacterial small subunit ribosomal RNA
Source: RNAcentral
GAUGAACGCUGGCGGCGUGCUUAACACAUGCAAGUCGAACGGUGAAGCAGGAGCUUGCUCUUGUGGAUCAGUGGCGAACGGGUGAGUAACACGUGAGCAACCUGCCCCUGACUCUGGGAUAAGCGCUGGAAACGGCGUCUAAUACUGGAUAUGUGAUGUGACCGCAUGGUCUGCAUCUGGAAAGAAUUUCGGUUGGGGAUGGGCUCGCGGCCUAUCAGCUUGUUGGUGAGGUAAUGGCUCACCAAGGCGUCGACGGGUAGCCGGCCUGAGAGGGGAACCAGCCACACUGGAAAUGGAGCACGGCCCAGACUCCUACGGGAGGCAGCAGAGGAGAAUAUUGCACAAUGGGCGGAAGCCUGAUGCAGCAACGCCGCGUGAGGGAUGACGGGCUUCGGGUUGUUAACCUCUUUUAGCAGGGAAGAAGCGAAAGUGACGGUACCUGCAGAAAAAGCACCGGCUAACUACGUGCCAGCAGCCGCGGUAA